RNAcentral lists this ribosomal RNA (422 nucleotides) under uncultured bacterium. Its description in RNAcentral is "bacterial SSU rRNA". It matches the Rfam family "Bacterial small subunit ribosomal RNA", at positions 355 to 774 of the family's 1533-position model. The record is from RNAcentral.
UAAGGAAUAUUGGACAAUGGAGGCAACUCUGAUCCAGCCAUGCCGCGUGAAGGAAUAAGGCCCUAUGGGUUGUAAACUUCUUUUAGACGGGACAAAACCCCUUUACGUGUAAAGGGUUGAUGGUACUGUCAGAAUAAGCAUCGGCUAACUUCGUGCCAGCAGCCGCGGUAAUACGACGGAUGCAAGAGUUAUCCGGAAUUAUUGGGUUUAAAUGGUGCGUAGGCGGACUAAUAAGUCAGUGGUGAAAGCCUGCAGCUUAACUGCAGAAUUGCCAUUGAUACUGUUAGUCUUGAGUACAGUUGAGGUAGGCGGAAUGUGUCAUGUAGCGGUGAAAUGCUUAGAUAUGACACAGAACACCGAUUGCGAAGGCAGCUUGCUAAGCUGUAACUGACGCUGAGGCACGAAAGCGUGGGGAGCAAACA